RNAcentral lists this long non-coding RNA (455 nucleotides) under Homo sapiens (human). RNAcentral's name for it is "non-protein coding lnc-DZANK1-3:4". The record is from RNAcentral. Lineage: Eukaryota; Metazoa; Chordata; Mammalia; Primates; Hominidae.
AGGUAAACUCGGAUUUUCAAACAAACAAAAAGAACAGAAAAUGAUAAAUUAUCUGGAUAAGUUAAAGACUAUUUUUUCUCUUAAUUAAAAAAAUAAAUGAGCCAAAUCCUACUUUGUCAAAAAAAGUAGACAAACACUAGCUAACUGAAAGAGUCCGCUGAAAGCCUUGCCCUGGCUCCACGGGCUUCAGCCCUUUGAACAGAAGAGGGCGCCCUAAACAUGGUGAUUCCUUCCUUUCCCACGGUAUUCCCUGCCACUUUUCACUACUUAAAAUUUUAGAAUUCCCUCAAAAUGAUGGGCAUCAAGCCUCCUGUACUUCAUGGAUAAUUAAUUGAUGUGCAAGUUUGUGGGGUUUUUUUGCCAGGGAACAGAUUUUUUUCAGGACUGUGUCUUUUUUUUUUUUUAAGAAACAGGAAGGUUAUCUUGGAUUAUGACUAAUUAGAUUAAUUUUAAAA